Non-coding RNA from Lactuca sativa (garden lettuce), 852 nucleotides. NCBI's taxonomy places the organism in Eukaryota, Viridiplantae, Streptophyta, Magnoliopsida, Asterales, Asteraceae. The record is from RefSeq and is a predicted model, not a curated record.
UGACCUUCCACAUCGCUAAAUAUACACAACAAACUAGAUUCUUGUCUAUACGAGUCAAAUACUAACACAUAAAACAUCUUCUAUCCCUUUCAUCCAUACUGUGUUAAUCAACCUGAUCCUUCUUCUUUUGAUCAUUGGAGGUUGACUUGCAAUCACUUCCUAAUAGUUAGCAACUCUAGUCACUGCUACUCAGCCUUGACGAAGGCAGCAAUCCUUCUGUCGAUCAUCUUGGUCAUCCCCUUCUUUACAGUUUACACUACAAACCAAAUUACAUUUAGUGGCACAUAUUUUAUAUGCCACUGUAUCAUGUUCAAAGUUCUAAUUUUUGUUGAGCGCUAGUUAUUUUUCCUGCUAAUUUUCAUUUCCCGCUCCUUUUUCCCUCCACCAUUGAAGGUGUUGCACAUACUCUUUUUAACUUCUAGGUCAAAACUCAGAAAGCACAUCUGAAAUUUUUGGAUCCCCUGAAAUCACAAUCCCUUCCAAUAUCCAAAAUCCUCGUCACUCCUGCAUAUCAUCUCCUUGUUCGCUGCUGGAUAAAUCUCGGCAUCUCGUUGGUUGAAUCUCAUUCAAGAUUAAAUCCAUCUCGGUAUCUCACCGUGGAUUGAAGAUUUCUAUAUGUCAUCAUCGAUUUCAUCUUUUUUUCUGCCCGUUGAAUAGUUCAUAUGAAGCUUUUUGGUGUGCUCAAUUCCCUCAAAAAUUACAUCUGGUGGUAUUCCUGCUAGUUUCUCAUCUUUAUACAUAUGAAUUGACCAUUAUACCCUUGGGUUUAUCUUUCCUCUAUUCCUGUUAUGUCUUUAUUUUGUAGCUUAUCUUUUGUUGUUUUUUGGUGAUCUUUUAGAUGCUUCCAUUAUA